AUUGAAAACUUAAAGGUAAUCAUCUAAUUUUUUUUAUAUGGAUUGUGAAAUACCUUAGUUUAUAUAUGAGCUCUCUUUGAUUUGCAUAGUUAUAUCUAAUAUUGUAGAGCUCUAAGUUGACUCUAUUUAUAAAUAUCAUAUUGUUACUUCAAUUUUUAAAUCAAGCACAUAUUUAGCUUCAGCAGCUUGAUUUCUUUGAUUAUAUCUUGAUUACAUACUGGACUGUUAGCUCAUUAUUGUAAUUCUUAUAUUUUUACAGAGUUUGAAGUA
Molecule: long non-coding RNA, 270 nt
Filed under: Elaeis guineensis (African oil palm)
Lineage: Eukaryota; Viridiplantae; Streptophyta; Magnoliopsida; Arecales; Arecaceae
Description: long non-coding RNA (EGUI_LNC081992)
Source: RNAcentral